UAUAUCCUACGGGACGCAGCAGUGGGGAAUAUUGGGCAAUGGGCGCAAGCCUGACCCAGCAACGCCGCGUGAAGGAAGAAGGCUUUCGGGUUGUAAACUUCUUUUCUUGGGGACGAAGAAAGCGACGGUACCCAAGGAAUAAGCCACGGCUAACUACGUGCCAGCAGCCGCGGUAAUACGUAGGUGGCAAGCGUUAUCCGGAUUUAUUGGGUGUAAAGGGCGUGUAGGCGGGAUUGCAAGUCAGAUGUUAAAAACACGGGCUCAACCUGUGGCCUGAAUUUGAAACUGUAGUUCUU
RNAcentral lists this ribosomal RNA (296 nucleotides) under uncultured bacterium. Its description in RNAcentral is "partial 16S ribosomal RNA". It matches the Rfam family "Bacterial small subunit ribosomal RNA", at positions 333 to 643 of the family's 1533-position model. The record is from RNAcentral.